GAACAAAGGCCUGGAGACUGGAACGAGCUGCGUUCUUGGGGGUGGGGUGGGGGGGCGGCAGCUGGAGAGUGGGGGCUUCCCCAGCGGGAGGGGGAGGACGAUUCUGAAUGGCUUCCGUCCUUGUGGACAGAGUGAGUCUCUGCUAUGAGAAAGGUGUUCUACAUACGGCUCGGGAGCCAGCAAGUGCUUAUGAAGCCCCUUCACAUGGCCAGUAGCGUCCUAAGGGCCCGGCGACAAUUAGUCAUGGCGUCAUCGAACGCCAGGCUGGAGGAGGUCUUGGAUGCCGCAGCUCCUUUUGAAUUUCAAAGACGUUCAAAUCCCCAUCUGGCUGUUACACUUUUAGGCUAUUGAGAGUGAAAACAAGCACUGACAUGAACACCCAACCAGCUGCUGGUGACAUUGUCCCCUUCUGAGAUCUGAGGACAUGAACACCCAACCACCUGCCGGUGACAUUGUCCCCUUCUGAGAUCUGAGGACAUGAACACCCAACCACCUGCCGGUGACAUCGUCCCCUUCUGAGAUCUGAGGACAUGGACACCCACCCACCUGCCGGUGACAUUGUCCCCUUCUGAGAUCUGAGGACAUGAACACCCAACCACCUGCCGGUGACAUCGUCCCCUUCUGAGAUCUGAGGACAUGGACACCAAACCACCUGCCGGUGACAUCGUCCCCUUCUGAGAUCUGAGGACAUGAACACCCAACCACCUGCCGGUGACAUCGUCCCCGUCUGAGAUCUGAGGACAUGGAUACCCAACCACCUGCCAGUGACAUCGUCUCCUUCUGAGAUCUGAGGACAUGGACACCCAACCACCUGCCGGUGACAUCGUCCCCUUCUGAGAUCUGAGGACAUGAACACCCAACCACCUGCCGGUGACAUCGUCCCCUUCUGAGAUCUGAGGACAUGAACACCCAACCACCUGCCGGUGACAUCGUCCCCUUCUGAGAUCUGAGGACAUGGAUACCCAACCACCUGCCGGUGACAUCGUCCCCUUCUGAGAUCUGAGGACAUGAACACCCAACCACCUGCCGGUGACAUCGUCCCCUUCUGAGAUCUGAGGACAUGGAUACCCAACCACCUGCCAGUGACAUCGUCUCCUUCUGAGAUCUGAGGACAUGGACACCCAACCUGCUGCCGGUGACAUCGUCCCCUUCUGAGAUCUGAGGACAUGGACACCCAACCACCUGCCAGUGACAUCGUCUCCUUCUGAGAUCUGAGGACAUGGGCACCCAACCUGCUGCCGGUGACAUCGUCUCCUUCUGAGGUCUGAGGACAGACACUCACAUGGACACCUAAACACCUGCCGAUGAUAUUGUCUCCUGAAAUCUGAGGACAUGGACACCCAACCUGCUGCCAGUGACAUCGUCCCCUUCUGAGAUCUGAGGACAUGGACACCAAACCACCUGCUGGUGACAUCGUCUCCUUCUGAGAUCUGAGGACAUGGACACCCAACCUGCUGCCGGUGACAUUGUCCCCUUCUGAGAUCUGAGGACAUGGACACCCAACCACCUGCUGGUGACAUCGUCUCCUUCUGAGAUCUGAGGACAGACACAUAGACGCCCAAUCAGCUGCUGGUGACAUUGUCUCCUUCUGAAAUCUGAGGGUUGGAACACAUUGGGCUGGCUCAGUGUUUCUCCAUGUGGUUUUGAGACCACCUGAGUUGGAACCGAUAUGGGUUCCCAGCCUCACGCCUGGAGAGCUGGAUUUUGCGAGUGUGAGGUUAGGUCCAGCAUCUGCAUGUGUAAUGAGCUCCCAGGUGUUUCGUAGAUGCAUUAGGGCUUGAGAAGCUCCUUUCUAGCACCAUCUUCCUUUUUGCACAUGAGGGCGUUCAGGUCCAGAGAAAUAAAGCAGCAAGGUUGGUGGC
Molecule: long non-coding RNA, 1862 nt
Filed under: Pan troglodytes (chimpanzee)
Lineage: Eukaryota; Metazoa; Chordata; Mammalia; Primates; Hominidae
Description: lincRNA
Source: RNAcentral